AUGCUGUGGCGGUAUGCUUUACACAUGCAGUCGUACGAGAGUUUUUAAUUCAGUGGCGGACGGGUGAGUAACACGUAAGAAUUUGCCUUUAGGAGGGGGACAACAACGGGAAGCUGCUGCUAAUACCCCAUAUGCUUUCGAGUGAAAUGGAUUUUUCCGCCUAAAGAGAAGCUUGCGGCUGAUUAGCUUGUUGGUGAGGUAAUGGCUCACCAAGGCGACGAUCAGUAUCUGGUUUGAGAGGAUGAUCAGACACACUGGAACUGAGACACGGUCCAGACUCCUACGGGAGGCAGCAGUGGGGAAUUUUCCGCAAUGGGCGAAAGCCUGACGGAGCAAUACCGCGUGAGGGAUGACGGCCUAUGGGUUGUAAACCUCUUUUUUCAGGGAGGAAUAAACUGACGUGUACCUGAAGAAUAAGCAUCGGCUAACUCCGUGCCAGCAGCCGCGGUAAGACGGAGGAUGCAAGUGUUAUCCGGAAUCACUGGGCGUAAAGCGUCUGUAGGUGGUCCAAUAAGUCAACUGUUAAAUCUUGAGGCUCAACCUCAAAAUCGCAGUUGAAACUAUUAGACUAGAGUAUAGUAGGGGUAAAGGGAAUUUCCAGUGGAGCGGUGAAAUGCGUAGAGAUUGGAAAGAACACCGAUGGCGAAGGCACUUUACUGGGCUAUUACUAACACUCAGAGACGAAAGCUAGGGUAGCAAAUGGGAUUAGAUACCCCAGUAGUCCUAGCCGUAAACAAUGGAUACUAGAUGUUGAACAGAUCGACCUGUGCAGUAUCAAAGCUAACGCGUUAAGUAUCCCGCCUGGGAAGUAUGCUCGCAAGAGUGAAACUCAAUGAAUUGACGG
RNAcentral lists this ribosomal RNA (844 nucleotides) under uncultured bacterium. Its description in RNAcentral is "bacterial SSU rRNA". It matches the Rfam family "Bacterial small subunit ribosomal RNA", at positions 33 to 916 of the family's 1533-position model. The record is from RNAcentral.